UAGGGAAUUUUGCGCAAUGGACGAAAGUCUGACGCAGCAACUCCGUGUGAGGGAUGACGGCCUUCGGGUUGUAAACCUCUGUUGGGUGAGAAGAAAAUCUUCUGUGCUAAUCAGCAGGAGACUGACGGUAUCACCUUAGAAAGCUCCGGCUAACUACGUGCCAGCAGCCGCGGUAAUACGUAGGGAGCGAGCGUUGUUCGGAAUCACUGGGCGUAAAGCGAGUGUAGGCGGGAAGGUAAGUUAGGAGUGAAAUCUGUGGGCUCAACCCACAAUCUGCUUUUAAUACUGCUUUUCUUGAGUAUGGGAGAGGUAGACGGAAUUCCAGGUGUAGCGGUGGAAUGCGUAGAUAUCUGGAAGAACACCAGUUGCGAAGGCGGUCUACUGGCCCAAUACUGACGCUGAGGCUCGAAAGUUAGGGGAGCAAACAGG
RNAcentral lists this ribosomal RNA (429 nucleotides) under uncultured bacterium. RNAcentral describes it as "bacterial SSU rRNA". It matches the Rfam family "Bacterial small subunit ribosomal RNA", at positions 355 to 776 of the family's 1533-position model. The record is from RNAcentral.